CCUGGCAAUUUUGACAAUAACAAAAAAAAGAAAUGUCAAGCAAAAUGGAGGAAAAACUUACGACCUGUGGAAUUUCGUUUCUAAGUGAAAAUUAACUAAACAUCAGUCGAUAAACUGUGAAAAUUGUCACAUAUUUUGUUGCAGCAGCGAUGGGGGUUUUGGCUGGACAAAAUUUUGGUCAUUUCUCAUCUUAUUAACAGAAUUACUCGUUUUACUCAUUGAUGUAUUUUCGUAAUUUUAGGCGUUUUGGACUGCCGUUCUUUCAUUCCAUUGUAAUUUUCUUUGUUUAUUUUCAUUCUAUCGCACAUAGUUAGUUAUUAGGGUUAGGUUAGGCAAGGUUAGGCGCAGAUUUUAUAAUGAACAUACAAGUAUGCAGGGAUCCAUCAGACGCUGUGGCUUUGUACUUGCCGCAGCGUUUGUAUCUUAAAUCUUUUGCAAAGAUUAACAUUUCUGUCCAGCUCCCCUCCCACAAGGUACAUGGCAAGUCGAUCUCCAACUGGGAACUCAUGGAGAAGUUGCGGAAGAUGAUCCUACCUGAUAGUUUCUCGAUGUUAAAAGUGUCGAAGCAUAGUUCGGAAGUGAUAAGAUUUGAUGCGGAAUUAGAGAGUCGCGACAACCUCGAUCGAGUGCUCGCUAGGCUUGACGACAGAGUUGUGCAACUCAAGGAGUACCCUGAUCAGUUGAAGGUUCGUGUUAGCGAGGCCAAGUCUGAGUUCCCCAGUCGUCAUGACUGGGAUUCGUUCUUCCGUGAUACAACCGAGAUGGAUGAAAUGAAACCUGGAGAGCGUCCAGACACUAUCCACAUAUCCAAUUUGCCAAUAAGGUGGUUUGUACAUGAGAGGGAUAAAGAUGAAGAUGCACUUCCAUCUGAGAGUUUGAUGAAGAAGAUAUUUGAGAAGUUUGGUGCUGUCCGCCAAGUAGACAUACCAGCCUCUGAUCCUUACAGAAUGCAGAUGAAAUCAACAAUAAGAGGCAUCACCACACCACCACAGGAUGCUGCUCUGUACUUUGAGACGUACAUACAGUUCAGUGAAUAUGUUGGCUUUGUACGCUGUAUGGAUGCUUUACGAGGCCGGAAACUUCUCAGGAAGCGAGAUGACAUAGCAGAGUGGUGUGGUAUUAAGGUAGAGUUUGAUAAGACUAAACACAUGACUGAUGCUGCUGUGAAACGAAGGUCUAUAGUUCGGGAAAGACUGACUUCUCGUCAACUAGCUAAGGAAAAUGAGGAAAAAGCGGAGAAGGAGAGGAUAGCAAAAAGAGAGGCAAAAGAAAGGCAAAAAUAUGAGCGAUCCGAAAGAGAAAAGCUAGAGAAGAUGCGAGAACGAGAAGAGAGACGUAAGAAGAAGCAGCUAGCCAAGUUGAUGCAGAGUGACAACUUGGACCUGAACAGCAGGGUGGCUGAAGAACAGAAGAAACUGAUGAAAGCUCAGAAAAAGCUCCAGGCUAUUCGGUUGAUCGAGGAGUUGUUCAAGAGGAUAGAGUUACGUCCAGAACUACAGCGUAACGGUAACCGUGGAGAUCAGUACUACUUACCCGGAGAGCGUACCGCUAGAGCUCGCAUCAUUGACAAGUUCAAACGACAGCAGCAGCAGCUGGUUGAAGAGCAGCGGAAUAAUUAUAAUAACGCUUUAAAUGGUCGCAUAGUAAUCCGCUCAGCCCUUGAAACUAAGAAGCCAAAACGCGAGUCGUCCAUCAGCUCAGUGUCUUCAGACGACCGCUCCAAUGAUAACAGAGACCAUUACAAGAAGAUCAAAACGGAACGGCUGACCACGCCAGAGAGGGAAAUGGAGUAUAACAAGACCACAGCGGGAAUGUACAGCGUGCCGUACGGUUUCGGGUACCCGUUCGCCUGCCCGCCCGGAUACGCCUAUCCACCGCAAACAAAUUACAGGUACUUAAUAUCACAGAAACCAUAUAUGUGUGUAAAAUAAAAAGUGAGAUAUAUUUUUGUCGAGCGAAAGUAUGUUCUCUUUUCGCUCAUCACGCGAGCGAAGUGAGAAUAUGUUUUCGCUCGCUGCUGUCGCUCGGUGGGCGGCUAGUGUAGUGUAGUGGUGUGCAGCGUCCAUGUACUACCCCGUGCGCGGCGCCUACUACCCGCCGCCCAACGACUACCGCCGCCCUCGCGCCCGGGGACGAGGCCGGGGCAGGCCCAGGAUGCCAUACUUCGAUGGACCUGAUGCUAACCAGCAGUAUUAUAGAUACUUCAAGAAGCUGACAGAAGGCAACCCUCACAGUGAACACGAGGACAGAUCUCGCGGCCGCUCGCACUCGCGCUCGCGGUCACGCCGCAGGUCACACUCACGGUCAAGGUCACGCCGCCGGUCCUACACGAGGUCAAGGUCACGCAGCCGAAGGUCAAGGAGCCGUAGAAGCAGGAGCAGACGGUCUAGAUCUAGGAGUAGGAGAUCCAGGUCCUACCAGUCGCGUUCCCGCUCCCGAUCACACCGUCGUUCCCGCUCCAGACGAUCACGUUCUGCGUCACGCCGAUCUCGUUCCGCGUCACGCCGUUCCGCAUCACGACGAACUCCUGAAAAGCCUGAGAGAACCAGUGUAGACAGCACUAAGUUCGUCUCACCUAAUCAUAUAAGAGCUAGAUCUAGGAGUUGGUCUCAGACGAAGCAGGUGGAAGCACCAGGGAGUCCUAAGGAUAAGAUUGAAUAAAGUAUACCAACGCGAUUCCA
This is an RNA transcript of Helicoverpa zea (corn earworm), 2681 nucleotides long. It is a transcript of the gene named A-kinase anchor protein 17A, with no coding region annotated. The record is from RefSeq and is a predicted model, not a curated record. NCBI's taxonomy places the organism in Eukaryota, Metazoa, Arthropoda, Insecta, Lepidoptera, Noctuidae. The transcript is spliced from 8 exons.